GGAUAACAAAACUGCUGAAAGACAUUUGAUACAAACCUCUGACAUAAUGAGACACACCAACACCUUAAUUAUCCUACAGGUGUGUUUCAGCUCCAAACAAAAUAUCAAUAAUUCAUAUUUCUGUUUGACGAUAAACUUUAACAGGGGAUCAUGUGAUCAUCUGAGUAACUCUGCUGUUUAUAUUGUGAAGGUUUUCAGAGAAAAACUAAAAGUGUUUUAAAUACAGAUCACUGAAAAUGAUGAAUGUUGUGAAGGUUUUGGUUUUAGUGUCUCUGUCAGUUUAUUCACAUGUGGUUGAAACUGAAUGUUUUCAUACCUGAACACUUGGAGAAGAGGGACUUCUUCAUCAGUAAUGCAUAGAAACAGGUGAUCCAAAUGAGGUUUUAAGUUUAUUUUGCAUUUUUCCUCCUAAAUCUGUGAACCUUGACGUUAAACAGGAGCUGUCGUCGUACAGAUUACAGAUUGUUUUUGACGUUGAGUCUGUUUGUUCUGCAGUUUUACCUCCAGGCUGUUUUAUUUGUGCUGAAGCAGGGCUGUUGUCCUGCCGCUCUCUGAGGACGUUACAUCAGAAACUCUGGCAGAGACAUCGUCACCUCUGUACCUGCUGACACCUCAUACUCCCAUCAGUCUGCACCAAACCUCCCCGCUCGCCGCCUUCUGUUUAACCCGACUAGAGUCCUCAGGUGGGUAAAAACCAUAGACUGUAUAUAGAAUAUAUAGAAUAAUAACAGUAUAUACAGUCUAUGGUAAAAAACAAACAGAAGGAUAAACAGGAGGAUGACGUCUCUCAGUACUUUCAGAAGUCCUUGUUGGAUCAUUGUGGGACUUCUGAUGAGGUCAGAAG
RNAcentral lists this long non-coding RNA (844 nucleotides) under Xyrichtys novacula (pearly razorfish). Lineage: Eukaryota; Metazoa; Chordata; Actinopteri; Labriformes; Labridae. The record is from RNAcentral.